RNAcentral lists this ribosomal RNA (1890 nucleotides) under Thiotrichales bacterium. RNAcentral describes it as "partial 23S ribosomal RNA". It matches the Rfam family "Bacterial large subunit ribosomal RNA", at positions 60 to 2000 of the family's 2925-position model. Lineage: Bacteria; Pseudomonadati; Pseudomonadota; Gammaproteobacteria; Thiotrichales. The record is from RNAcentral.
GGCAGCCUGCGAAAAGCUCCGGGGAGUCGGCAACAGACUUUGAUCCGGAGAUGUCCGAAUGGGGAAACCCGGCCCUAGUGGUCAUCCCUUGACUGAAUACAUAGGUCUUGGGAAGCGAACGCGGCGAACUGAAACAUCUAAGUAGCUGCAGGAAAAGAAAUCAACCGAGAUUCCCCAAGUAGCGGCGAGCGAACGGGGAGGAGCCCUGAAGUGGUUGAACGUUUAGUGGAACAGACUGGAAAGUCUGGCGAUACAGAGUGAUAGCCUCGUACACGACAAGCCUCAACCAUGAUGACGAGUAGGGCGGGACACGUGAAAUCCUGUCUGAAUAUGGGGGGACCAUCCUCCAAGGCUAAAUACUACUUACCGACCGAUAGUGAACUAGUACCGUGAGGGAAAGGCGAAAAGAACCCCGGCGAGGGGAGUGAAAUAGAACCUGAAACCGUGUGCGUACAAGCAGUAGGAGCGGAGAGAUUCCGUGACUGCGUACCUUUUGUAUAAUGGGUCAGCGACUUAAUGAUCGUGGCAAGCUUAACCGAUUAGGGGAGGCGUAGGGAAACCGAGUCUGAAUAGGGCGAUAGUCGCGGUCAUUAGACCCGAAACCGGAGCGAUCUAUCCAUGGCCAGGAUGAAGGUUGGGUAAAACCAACUGGAGGUCCGAACCCACAAAUGUUGAAAAAUUUGGGGAUGAGCUGUGGAUCGGAGUGAAAGGCUAAUCAAGCCCGGAGAUAGCUGGUUCUCCUCGAAAGCUAUUUAGGUAGCGCCUCGUAUCUCACUCUCGGGGGUAGAGCACUGUUAUGGCUAGGGGGUCAUCCCGACUUACCAAACCAUUGCAAACUCCGAAUACCGAGAAGUGCAAUUACGGGAGACAGACGGUGGGUGCUAACGUCCAUCGUCAAGAGGGAAACAACCCAGACCGCCAGCUAAGGUCCCUAAAUCUGUGCUAAGUGGGAAACGAUGUGGGAAGGCAUAGACAGCUAGGAGGUUGGCUUAGAAGCAGCCAUCCUUUAAAGAAAGCGUAAUAGCUCACUAGUCAAGUCGGCCUGCGCGGAAGAUUUAACGGGGCUCAAGCACAGUACCGAAGCUGCGGAUGCCGCAAGGCAUGGUAGAGGAGCGUUCUGUAGGCCGUUGAAGGUGUGCUGUGAGGCAUGCUGGAGGUAUCAGAAGUGCGAAUGCUGACAUAAGUAACGAUAAUGCGUGUGAAAACCACGCACGCCGAAAGUCCAAGGUUUCCUGCGCAACGUCAAUCGGCGCAGGGUGAGUCGGCCCCUAAGGCGAGGCUGAGAAGCGUAGUCGAUGGGAAGUGGGUUAAUAUUCCUACACCGUUCAUAAUUGCGAUGGGGGGACGGAGAAGGUUAGGUCAGCCGGUGAUUGGUAGUACCGGUUUAAGUGUGUAGGCAGAUCCCUUAGGCAAAUCCGGGGGGUCAAUGCCAAGGCAUGACGACGAGUUUCUACGGAGACGAAGUGAUUGAUACCAAGCUUCCAGGAAAAGCCUCUAAGCUUCAGAUUAUGAGUGACCGUACCCAAAACCGACACAGGUGGACAGGUCGAGAAGACCAAGGCGUUGAGAGAACUCGGGUGAAGGAACUAGGCAAAAUAGCACCGUAACUUCGGGAGAAGGUGCGCCCAUGGUAGGUGAAGCGACUUGCUCGUGGAGCCCAAGUGGGUUGCAGUGACCAGGCCGCUGCGACUGUUUAACAAAAACACAGCACUCUGCAAACUCGAAAGAGGACGUAUAGGGUGUGACGCCUGCCCGGUGCCGGAAGGUUAAUUGAUGGGGUCAGCGCAAGCGAAGCUCUUGAUCGAAGCCCCGGUAAACGGCGGCCGUAACUAUAACGGUCCUAAGGUAGCGAAAUUCCUUGUCGGGUAAGUUCCGACCCGCACGAAUGGC